AGCGAACGCUGGCGGCAGGCCUAACACAUGCAAGUCGAACGAACCUUUCGGGGUUAGUGGCGGACGGGUGAGUAACACGUGGGAACGUGCCUUUAGGUUCGGAAUAACUCAGGGAAACUUGUGCUAAUACCGAAUGUGCCCUUCGGGGGAAAGAUUAAUCGCCUUUAGAGCGGCCCGCGUCUGAUUAGCUAGUUGGUUGAGGUAAUGGCUCACCAAGGCGACGAUCAGUAGCUGGUCUGAGAGGAUGAUCAGCCACAUUGGGACUGAGACACGGCCCAAACGCCGACGGCAGGCAGCAGGGGGGAAGAUUGGACAAUGGGCGAAAGCCUUAUCCAGCUAUGCCGCGGGAGGAAUGAAGGCCUUAGGGGUGUAAAGCUCUUGUACACGAGAUGAUAAUGACAGGAGCGGGAGAAGAAGCGCCGGCUAACUCAGUG
Molecule: ribosomal RNA, 434 nt
Filed under: uncultured bacterium
Lineage: Bacteria
Description: partial 16S ribosomal RNA
Rfam family: Bacterial small subunit ribosomal RNA
Source: RNAcentral